AUCUCAGUAACGAAAAGGAAGAGUAGUUUUCCAAAAAGUCUGUUGAGCGAGCGGCGGGUGGUGCGAGCGUCGCCGGAUGGGGAAAACGAAUGGGCCUUUUAACAGAAACGAGUGAACCAAAAGUAGCUUGUUUGGGAACUGGCCCUUAUCCAGAAGUGACACGUUUCAAGACGUGUAAUUUAGGUGGUACCACGGAAAAGCCGUCCUAUUG
RNAcentral lists this non-coding RNA (211 nucleotides) under Lactobacillus selangorensis. RNAcentral's name for it is "T-box sequence". It matches the Rfam family "T-box leader". From Rfam's summary of the family: Uncharged tRNA acts as the effector for transcription antitermination of genes in the T-box leader family. T-boxes are found upstream of many aminoacyl-tRNA synthetase genes and some amino acid biosynthetic genes usually in Gram-positive bacteria. The record is from RNAcentral. Lineage: Bacteria; Bacillati; Bacillota; Bacilli; Lactobacillales; Lactobacillaceae.